GAUGAAGAACGUAGCGAAAUGCGAUAAGUAGUGUGAAUUGCUGAAUUCAGUGAAUCAUCGAAUCUUUGAACGCACAUUGCGGCCAUAGGUAUUCCUUUGGCCAUGCCUGUUCGAGCGUCAUUUACACCCUCAAGCCUAGCUUGGUGUUGGGCGUCUGUCCCGCCGUUCUCGCGCGCGGACUCGCCUCAAAGUCAUUGGCGGCGGUCGUGCCGGCCCCCUCGCGCAGCACAUUUGCGCUUCUCGGAGGCCCGGCGGAUCCGCGCUCCAGCAAGACCUUUCACGACUUGACCUCGGAUCAGGUAGGGAUACCCGCUGAACUUAAGCAUAUCAAUAAGCGGAGGA
RNAcentral lists this unclassified non-coding RNA (342 nucleotides) under soil metagenome. Its description in RNAcentral is "partial contains 5.8S ribosomal RNA, internal transcribed spacer 2, and large subunit ribosomal RNA". The stretch from base 1 to 120 matches the Rfam family "5.8S ribosomal RNA", at positions 35 to 154 of the family's 154-position model. The record is from RNAcentral.